UGAAACAACACUUCCCAUACGAUCACCAAAGUUAAGCAACAUUGAGCCUGUUCAGUACCUAGAUGGGUUACUGCUUAGGAAUACCAGCUGCUGUAAG
Non-coding RNA from Acanthosepion pharaonis, 97 nucleotides. Lineage: Eukaryota; Metazoa; Mollusca; Cephalopoda; Sepiida; Sepiidae. The record is from the annotation of a GenBank genome assembly.